AUAGAAUUAUUGCUGCGGUUAAAAAGCUCGUAGUUGGAUCUGUGCCCGCGGCGUGGUCUGCACGAAAGUGUAGUACUGCGUUCGUGGGCUUUCUGCCGGUCUUCGUGCCGACGUCUUCACCGACGGCGGUGCGUGGCUGGCGAUUUUACUUUGAGCAAAUCAGAGUGCUCAGCACAGGCGUCUCGCCUGAAUGAUCGUGCAUGGAAUAAUGGAAAAGGAUUUCGGUCCUCUUUUAUUGGUUUUUUGGACUGAGAUAAUGAUUAACAGGGACAAACGGGGGCAUUCGUAUUCCCACGCUAGAGGUGAAAUUCUUGGACCGUGGGAGGACGGACUACAG
Molecule: ribosomal RNA, 337 nt
Filed under: Sphaeronema alni
Lineage: Eukaryota; Metazoa; Nematoda; Chromadorea; Rhabditida; Sphaeronematidae
Description: SSU rRNA
Rfam family: Eukaryotic small subunit ribosomal RNA
Source: RNAcentral